Molecule: ribosomal RNA, 655 nt
Filed under: Pediococcus pentosaceus
Lineage: Bacteria; Bacillati; Bacillota; Bacilli; Lactobacillales; Lactobacillaceae
Description: bacterial SSU rRNA
Rfam family: Bacterial small subunit ribosomal RNA
Source: RNAcentral
CGUNNCGUUAAUUGAUUAUGACGUACUUGUACUGAUUGAGAUUUUAACACGAAGUGAGUGGCGAACGGGUGAGUAACACGUGGGUAACCUGCCCAGAAGUAGGGGAUAACACCUGGAAACAGAUGCUAAUACCGUAUAACAGAGAAAACCGCAUGGUUUUCUUUUAAAAGAUGGCUCUGCUAUCACUUCUGGAUGGACCCGCGGCGUAUUAGCUAGUUGGUGAGGUAAAGGCUCACCAAGGCAGUGAUACGUAGCCGACCUGAGAGGGUAAUCGGCCACAUUGGGACUGAGACACGGCCCAGACUCCUACGGGAGGCAGCAGUAGGGAAUCUUCCACAAUGGACGCAAGUCUGAUGGAGCAACGCCGCGUGAGUGAAGAAGGGUUUCGGCUCGUAAAGCUCUGUUGUUAAAGAAGAACGUGGGUAAGAGUAACUGUUUACCCAGUGACGGUAUUUAACCAGAAAGCCACGGCUAACUACGUGCCAGCAGCCGCGGUAAUACGUAGGUGGCAAGCGUUAUCCGGAUUUAUUGGGCGUAAAGCGAGCGCAGGCGGUCUUUUAAGUCUAAUGUGAAAGCCUUCGGCUCAACCGAAGAAGUGCAUUGGAAACUGGGAGNCUUGAGUGCAGANGNNNACAGUGGAACUCCAUGUGUAGCG